Bufo bufo (common toad) is the source of this 76-nucleotide small nucleolar RNA. The record is from RefSeq and is a predicted model, not a curated record. Lineage: Eukaryota; Metazoa; Chordata; Amphibia; Anura; Bufonidae.
CUGGUAACGUGAUGAAUGAACUAAAUCACCAUCUUUCGGCUGAUUCGUGAUGCACAUGUUCUGUCUGAGCUACCAG